RNAcentral lists this ribosomal RNA (460 nucleotides) under uncultured bacterium. Its description in RNAcentral is "partial 16S ribosomal RNA". It matches the Rfam family "Bacterial small subunit ribosomal RNA", at positions 338 to 795 of the family's 1533-position model. The record is from RNAcentral.
CCUACGGGAGGCAGCAGUGAGGAAUAUUGGUCAAUGGUCGGGAGUCUGAACCAGCCAAGCCGCGUGAGGGAGGACGGUCCUAUGGAUUGUAAACCUCUUUUGUCCGGGAGCAAAGGCCGGUACGCGUCUCCGGCUGAGUGUACCUGACGAAUAAGCAUCGGCUAACUCCGUGCCAGCAGCCGCGGUAAUACGGAGGAUGCGAGCGUUAUCCGGAUUUAUUGGGUUUAAAGGGUGCGUAGGCGGUCGGUUAAGUUCGGGGGGAAAUCCCGGGGCUCAAACCAGGCGUUGCCGGUGAUACUGGCGGGCUGGAGGGGGGGGGAGGUAGGCGGAAGGUACGGUGGAGCGGUGAAAUGCAUAGAGAGCAGACAGAACAACGAUUGCGAAGGAAGCUUACCGGAGGACGACUGACGGUGAGGCACGAAAGCGUGGGGAGCAAACAGGAUUAGAUACCCUAGUAGUC